UACGAACGCUGGCGGCGUGCUUAACACAUGCAAGUCGAACGAUGAAGAAAAGAAUUGAAGCUUCGGCAGAAAUUCAUUUCGGAUUAGUGGCAGACGGGUGAGUAACGCGUGAGCAACCUACCUCUUACAAAGGGAUAGCCUUGGGAAACCGGGAUUAAUACCAUAUAACAUUGCGACGAAGCAUUUCGAUGCAAUCAAAGCUACGGCGGUAAGAGAUGGGCUCGCGUCCCAUUAACCAGAUGGUGAGGUAACGGCUCACCAUAGUAACGAUGGGUAACCGGCCUGAGAGGGUGAACGGUCACACUGGAACUGAGACACGGUCCAGACUCCUACGGGAGGCAGCAGUGGGGAAUAUUGCACAAUGGAGGGAACUCUGAUGCAGCGACGCCGCGUGAGUGAUGAAGGAAUUCGUUUCGUAAAACUCUGUUCUAUGGGAAGAAAAGGACUGUACCAUAGGAGAAAGCUCCGGCUAAAUACGUG
Molecule: ribosomal RNA, 480 nt
Filed under: uncultured bacterium
Lineage: Bacteria
Description: partial 16S ribosomal RNA
Rfam family: Bacterial small subunit ribosomal RNA
Source: RNAcentral